AAUGAACGCUGGCGGCGUGCUUAACACAUGCAAGUCGCACGAGAACGCUUCUGCUAGCAGGGGCUAGUAAAGUGGCGCACGGGUGAGUAACGCGUGGGUAAUCUACCCUUGGAUUCGGGAUAACCCUUCGAAAGGAGUGCUAAUACCGGAUGAAGUCAUUUAGGCUGUGGUUUAGAUGAUGAAAGGUGGCCUCUCCGAGGAAGCUACCGUUUGGGGAUGAGCCCGCGUACCAUUAGCUUGUUGGUGGGGUAACGGCCUACCAAGGCGACGAUGGUUAGCUGGUCUGAGAGGAUGAUCAGCCACACUGGAACUGACACACGGUCCAGACUCCUACGGGAGGCAGCAGUGAGGAAUUUUGCGCAAUGGGGGAACCCUGGACGCAGCAACGCCGCGUGAGUGAAGAAGGCCUUCGGGUCGUAAGCUCUGUCGAGUGGAAGAACCUUCGUAUGUUGAAUAUGCAUACGGACUGACGGUACCAGCAGAAGGAAGCACCGGCUAACUCCGUGCCAGCAGCCGCGGUAAUACGGAGGGUCGCAAGCGUUAUUCGGAAUUAUUGGGCGUAAAGAGCGCGUAGGCGG
Molecule: ribosomal RNA, 578 nt
Filed under: uncultured bacterium
Lineage: Bacteria
Description: bacterial SSU rRNA
Rfam family: Bacterial small subunit ribosomal RNA
Source: RNAcentral